RNAcentral lists this small RNA (28 nucleotides) under Bombyx mori (domestic silkworm). Its description in RNAcentral is "ovarian small RNA-1293". The record is from RNAcentral. Lineage: Eukaryota; Metazoa; Arthropoda; Insecta; Lepidoptera; Bombycidae.
CCGAGAGUGGAGCCUCCGCGCUCGAACU